RNAcentral lists this ribosomal RNA (453 nucleotides) under uncultured bacterium. RNAcentral describes it as "bacterial SSU rRNA". It matches the Rfam family "Bacterial small subunit ribosomal RNA", at positions 27 to 496 of the family's 1533-position model. The record is from RNAcentral.
GAUUGAACGCUAGCGGCAGGCCUAAUACAUGCAAGCCGGACGGCAAGUUGAGUAGUCAAUACUUGACCUAGAGUGGCGUAAGGGUGCGUAACACGUAUGCAAUCUGCCCACAGCCGGGAGAUAGCCCUCCGAAAGGAGGAUUAAUAUCCCAUAGGAAGAUGAGAUGGCAUCAUUUUAUUUUUAAACUACGGGGCUGUGGAUGAGCAUGCGGUUGAUUAGCUAGUUGGCGGGUAAAGGCCCACAAGGCGAUGAUCAAUAGGGGACCUGAGAGGGUAGAUCCCCCACACUGGCACUGAGAUACGGGACCAGACUCCUACGGGAGGCAGCAGUAGGGAAUAUUGGACAAUGGGGGCAACCCUGAUCCAGCAAUGCCGCGUGAGUGAUGAAGGCCUUAGGGUUGUAAAGCUCUUUUGCCAGGGAAGAUGAUGACUGUACCUGGAGAAUAAGCCCCGG